RNAcentral lists this ribosomal RNA (254 nucleotides) under uncultured bacterium. RNAcentral's name for it is "partial 16S ribosomal RNA". It matches the Rfam family "Bacterial small subunit ribosomal RNA", at positions 524 to 776 of the family's 1533-position model. The record is from RNAcentral.
UACGGGGGGAGCAAGCGUUGUUCGGAUUUACUGGGCGUAAAGGGCGCGUAGGCGGUCAGCACAAGUCAGUUGUGAAAUCUCCGGGCUUAACUCGGAAAGGUCAACUGAUACUGUGCGACUAGAGUGCAGAAGGGGCAACUGGAAUUCUCGGUGUAGCGGUGAAAUGCGUAGAUAUCGAGAGGAACACCAGUGGCGAAGGCGGCUCACUGGUCCGGUACUGACGCUGAGGUGCGAAAGCGUGGGGAGCAAACAGG